GGGGACAACCAGCCGAAAGGUUGGCUAAUACCGCAUGAGUUCUACGGAAGAAAGAGGGGGACCCGCAAGGGCCUCUCGCGAGCGGAGCGGCCGAUGACUGAUUAGCCUGUUGGUGAGGUAACGGCUCACCAAAGCAACGAUCAGUAGCUGGUCUGAGAGGACGACCAGCCACACUGGGACUGAGACACGGCCCAGACUCCUACGGGAGGCAGCAGUGGGGAAUUUUGGACAAUGGGCGCAAGCCUGAUCCAGCUAUUCCGCGUGUGGGAUGAAGGCCCUCGGGUUGUAAACCACUUUUGUAGAGAACGAAAAGACACCUUUUAAAAAAGGGUGUUGCUGACGGUACUCUAAGAAUAAGCACCGGCUAACUACGUGCCAGCAGCCGCGGUAAUACGUAGGGUGCGAGCGUUAAUCGGAAUUACUGGGCGUAAAGGGUGCGCAGGCGGUUGAGUAAGACAGAUGUGAAAUCCCCGAGCUUAACUCGGGAAUGGCAUAUGUGACUGCUCGACUAGAGUGUGUCAGAGGGAGGUGGAAUUCCACGUGUAGCAGUGAAAUGCGUAGAUAUGUGGAAGAACACCGAUGGCGAAGGCAGCCUCCUGGGACAUAACUGACGCUCAGGCACGAAAGCGUGGGGAGCAGACAGGAUUAGAUACCCUGGUAGUCCACGCCCUAAACGAUGUA
Molecule: ribosomal RNA, 681 nt
Filed under: uncultured bacterium
Lineage: Bacteria
Description: bacterial SSU rRNA
Rfam family: Bacterial small subunit ribosomal RNA
Source: RNAcentral